Molecule: long non-coding RNA, 678 nt
Filed under: Vombatus ursinus (common wombat)
Lineage: Eukaryota; Metazoa; Chordata; Mammalia; Diprotodontia; Vombatidae
Description: lncRNA (ENSVURG00010005901.1)
Source: RNAcentral
AUACCCAGCCCCCUGGGAUUGCCUCUCAAUUACACUGUACGUAUCUUGUGUAUACAUAUGGAACACCGUCCUGGCCAAUGAGGACUCAGUCCUGGAAGCAUGAGCUCUCAAGUGAACCUGCUUUGGAAAAUGCCUGAUGAUAUGGCAUGGAGAGGCCCUGAUCUCCAUUUCAGAUGUCCUUUGGGUGACCCCAGGAUCUCUUUGGAGAUUAGGCCUGGCUAUGUUAAAAGGAAGAAAAUACAAAUGCCACCAAGAAAGGUAAUCACAACCUUUAUUUAAAACAUGAAAACGAACCAAAGAUGAGAAGAUGACUGUGAUUAGGAGCGGCCCUGAUGAAUUCCCUGAUGCAUCGUCUUUCUUCCCACCCACAAUUUGAAGAGGCUCUACCAAAAAGAAGACAAAGCUGUUAGACAAAUCCCUGGAGGCAUUCCCUUUUUAAAAAUGUUUUUUAAAUUUUUUCCAAUUACAUAUAAAAAAACAAUUUUUAUCAUUCAUUUUUUCAAGUUUUGAGUUCCAAAUUUUCUCCCUCCUUCUUUCCCUUUCAAAAGGCAAGCAAUUUGAUAUAGGUUAUACAUAUAUAGUCAUGUAAAACAUAUUUCCACAUUAGUCCUGUUGUGAAAAAAAAUCACAGACAAAAAAAAAAAGAGAAAUAAAGGAAGUAAAAAAGAGUAUGCUUCA